This 291-nucleotide unclassified non-coding RNA is filed under the name Glomus sp. Its description in RNAcentral is "partial contains 5.8S ribosomal RNA and internal transcribed spacer 2". The stretch from base 1 to 65 matches the Rfam family "5.8S ribosomal RNA", at positions 84 to 154 of the family's 154-position model. Lineage: Eukaryota; Fungi; Glomeromycota; Glomeromycetes; Glomerales; Glomeraceae. The record is from RNAcentral.
GUGAAUCAUCAAAUUUUUGAACGCAAAUUGCACUCUCUUCUGAGAGUAUGCCUGUUUGAGUGUCAGCCUCAAAAAAAUCCACGUAGUCUUUGUUUCGCGGUGACAUUCGUCUGAAAUUGGGUCAACUUAAACCUUUGGGCUUUUUAAGCGGCUUAAAAUUUUCUUUACGAUUCCACGAACGUUUCUAAUAUUCUACUUCUUACACACGUUUAAGGUAUUGCUCUCUAUUAGACGUUUCCGUUGCAUCGGGUUACGAUCAUAAAUAUUUCGUUAACUGACCUGAUUCAGGUA